Molecule: long non-coding RNA, 730 nt
Filed under: Linum usitatissimum (flax)
Lineage: Eukaryota; Viridiplantae; Streptophyta; Magnoliopsida; Malpighiales; Linaceae
Description: long non-coding RNA (LUSI_LNC003713)
Source: RNAcentral
CGGAGAAGACGAUUGGACUGGAUAGCAGAGGUACGCCGCGGGAUUUGACGGAUCUGACGAAGGAGGCCUGGGCGGAAGGAGUGAACGAUCGGACUGGAUAGCAGAGGUACGCAUCGGGAUUUGACGGAUCUGACGAAGGAGGCCUGGGCGGAAGGAGUGGUGUUGUAGUGGACGAUUCCGAUACCGCCGAGUGCGGCCAUGGAGGCGGCCAUGGCGGACUCGGUGACGGUGUCCAUCGGAGAGGAGACGCAAGGGAUGGAGAGGCGGAUGUUGCGGGAGAGGGAGGUUGAGAGGGAGACGUCGUCGAUGGGGAAGUCGAUGUAGUGAGGAAGGAAGAUGACGUCGUCGUAGGUGUAGGAGUAGCCUUGGUUGAAGAGCUGCUUGCAGCCGAAUCCGUCUUCUUCCUCCAUGAUAUCCAAGAGUUUGCUCAUUGUUCCGGUGACGGCGAUGGUGGUGCGUAGGGUUUGGUGUUCAGUGCGGCGGGAAGAGUGAACUUAACCUACUCUACUUCUCCACUUGUACUAGGAGACGAAGAAGCCGUCUGACACACUGACUGAAUUUGUGGAUUUGGUGGGAAAUUAAAAGGAUAAUUACAUUAAGGUCAGUGAACUUGGCAACUAGCAUUAGUAGAACCAUCCAAUUUGUAAAAUUAAUAAACUAAUAGCUAGCCUUUUGUAUAAUUGACAAACUGGUAAUUAUGUUCAAUGGUUGUGACUUUGUGAGAUAUGAA